RNAcentral lists this ribosomal RNA (429 nucleotides) under bacterium. RNAcentral describes it as "partial 16S ribosomal RNA". It matches the Rfam family "Bacterial small subunit ribosomal RNA", at positions 355 to 776 of the family's 1533-position model. The record is from RNAcentral.
UAGGGAAUCUUCCACAAUGGACGCAAGUCUGAUGGAGCAACGCCGCGUGAGUGAAGAAGGUUUUCGGAUCGUAAAGCUCUGUUGUUGGUGAAGAAGGAUAGAGGCAGUAACUGGUCUUUAUUUGACGGUACUCAACCAGAAAGUCACGGCUAACUACGUGCCAGCAGCCGCGGUAAUACGUAGGUGGCAAGCGUUGUCCGGAUUUAUUGGGCGUAAAGCGAGCGUAGGCGGAAUGAUAAGUCUGAUGUGAAAGCCCACGGCUCAACCGGGGAACUGCAUCGGAAACUGUCAUUCUUGAGUGCAGAAGAGGAGAGUGGAAUUCCAUGUGUAGCGGUGGAAUGCGUAGAUAUAUGGAAGAACACCAGUGGCGAAGGCGGCUCUCUGGUCUGCAACUGACGCUGAGGCUCGAAAGCAUGGGUAGCGAACAGG